CACAAGAAUGUUAGGUCCCUGGC
This 23-nucleotide non-coding RNA is filed under the name Rattus norvegicus (Norway rat). Lineage: Eukaryota; Metazoa; Chordata; Mammalia; Rodentia; Muridae. The record is from RNAcentral.